UGAGGAAUCUUCCACAAUGGACGAAAGUCUGAUGGAGCAACUCCGCGUGCAGGAUGAAGGCCUUAGGGUUGUAAACUGCUUUUAUGAGUGAAGAAUAUGACGGUAACUCAUGAAUAAGGGUCGGCUAACUACGUGCCAGCAGCCGCGGUCAUACGUAGGACCCAAGCGUUAUCCGGAGUGACUGGGCGUAAAGAGUUGCGUAGGUGGUUAUAUAAGUGAAUAGUGAAAUCUGGCGGCUCAACCGUACAGGCUAUUAUUCAAACUGUAUAACUCGAGAAUGGUAGAGGUAACUGGAAUUUCUUGUGUAGGAGUGAAAUCCGUAGAUAUAAGAAGGAACACCAAUGGCGUAGGCAGGUUACUGGACCAUUUCUGACACUGAGGCACGAAAGCGUGGGGAGCGAACCGG
Molecule: ribosomal RNA, 406 nt
Filed under: uncultured bacterium
Lineage: Bacteria
Description: bacterial SSU rRNA
Rfam family: Bacterial small subunit ribosomal RNA
Source: RNAcentral